Molecule: ribosomal RNA, 465 nt
Filed under: uncultured bacterium
Lineage: Bacteria
Description: partial 16S ribosomal RNA
Rfam family: Bacterial small subunit ribosomal RNA
Source: RNAcentral
GACGAACGCUGGCGGCGUGCUUAACACAUGCAAGUCGAACGGAAAGGCCCUUUUGGGGGUACACGAGUGGCGAACGGGGGAGUAACACGUGAGUAACCUGCCCUGGACUUCGGGAUAACGGUAGGAAACUGGGGCUAAUACCGGAUAUGAACCCUUGCUGCAUGGUGGGGGUUGGAAAGCUCCGGCGGUUUUGGAUGGACUCGCGGCUUAUCAGCUUGUUGGUGGGGUAGUGGCUUACCAAGGCGGCGACGGGUAGCCGGCCUGAGAGGGUGACCGGCCACAUUGGGACUGAGAUACGGCCCAGACUCCUACGGGAGGCAGCAGUGGGGAAUAUUGCACAAUGGGCGCAAGCCUGAUGCAGCAACGCCGCGUGCGGGAUGACGGCCUUCGGGUUGUAAACCGCUUUCAGCAGGGACGAAGCUUGUUGUGACGGUACCUGCAGAAGAAGCACCGGCUAACUACGUG